AAGGCGAGGCAGAAAUGCGUAGUCGAUGGGAAGCUGGUUAAUAUUCCAGCACCUCGCGUAAGUGCGAUGGAGGGACGGAGAAGGUUAGGUUGGCCGGGCGUUGGUUGUCCCGGUGAGAUGGUUGAGGCGGUUCCCUUUGGCAAAUCCGGGGGAGCAACGUUGAGACCAAGGACGAGUCCUUUUGGACUAAGCAACUGAUAUCACGCUUCCAGGAAAAGCUCCUAAGCUUCAGCUUACGCAGACCGUACCGUAAUCCGACACAGGUGGGCAGGAUGAGAAUUCUCAGGCGCUUGAGAGAACUUGGGUGAAGGAACUAGGCAAAAUAGUACCGUAACUUCGGGAGAAGGUACGCCCUCCAUGGUGAAUAGCUGAGGAGGGCCGCAGUGACCAGGCCGCUGCGACUGUUUAUCAAAAACACAGCACUCUGCAAACACGAAAGUGGACGUAUAGGGUGUGACGCCUGCCCGGUGCUGGAAGGUUAAUUGAUGGGGUCAGCCGCAAGGUGAAGCUCUUGAUCGAAGCCCCAGUAAACGGCGGCCGUAACUAUAACGGUCCUAAGGUAGCGAAAUUCCUUGUCGGGUAAGUUCCGACCUGCACGAAUGGCGUAACGACAGCGGCGCUGUCUCCACCCAAGACUCAGUGAAAUUGAAAUCGCUGUGAAGAUGCAGCGUUCCCGCGGCAAGACGGAAAGACCCCGUGAACCUUUACUAUAGCUUUACAUUGAACGUUGAGUUCGUCUGUGUAGGAUAGGUGGGAGCCUUUGAAGCGAUGGCGCUAGCUGUCGUGGAGGCAACCUUGAAAUACCACCCUGAUGUGCUUGACGUUCUAACCUGGGCCCGUAAUCCGGGUCGGGGACCAUGUAUGGUGGGUAGUUUGACUGGGGCGGUCUCCUCCUAAAGAGUAACGGAGGAGCACGAAGGUACGCUCAGCGCGGUCGGACAUCGCGCACUGUGUGCAAAGGCAUAAGCGUGCUUGACUGCAAGAUCGACGGAUCAAGCAGGUACGAAAGUAGGUCUUAGUGAUCCGGUGGUUCUGUAUGGAAGGGCCAUCGCUCAACGGAUAAAAGGUACUCCGGGGAUAACAGGCUGAUACCGCCCAAGAGUUCAUAUCGACGGCGGUGUUUGGCACCUCGAUGUCGGCUCAUCACAUCCUGGGGCUGUAGUCGGUCCCAAGGGUAUGGCUGUUCGCCAUUUAAAGUGGUACGCGAGCUGGGUUCAGAACGUCGUGAGACAGUUCGGUCCCUAUCUGUCGUGGGCGUUGGAGAUUUGAGAGGGGCUGCUCCUAGUACGAGAGGACCGGAGUGGACGAACCUCUGGUGUUCCGGUUGUCACGCCAGUGGCACUGCCGGGUAGCUACGUUCGGAAGCGAUAACCGCUGAAAGCAUCUAAGCGGGAAGCGCGCCUCAAGAUGAGAUCUCCCGGGGCACAAGCCCCCUAAAGGAACCAUCAAGACUAGGUGGUUGAUAGGCAGGGUGUGUAAGCGCAGCAAUGCGUUGAGCUAACCUGUACUAAUGAUCCGUGUGGCUUGACCAU
This 1532-nucleotide ribosomal RNA is filed under the name Audouinella sp. 1hermannii. RNAcentral's name for it is "bacterial LSU rRNA". It matches the Rfam family "Bacterial large subunit ribosomal RNA", at positions 1393 to 2925 of the family's 2925-position model. Lineage: Eukaryota; Rhodophyta; Florideophyceae; Acrochaetiales; Acrochaetiaceae. The record is from RNAcentral.